UUAAGCGACUAAGCGUACACGGUGGAUGCCCUGGCAGUCAGAGGCGAUGAAGGACGUGCUAAUCUGCGAUAAGCGUCGGUAAGGUGAUAUGAACCGUUAUAACCGGCGAUUUCCGAAUGGGGAAACCCAGUGUGUUUCGACACACUAUCAUUAACUGAAUCCAUAGGUUAAUGAGGCGAACCGGGGGAACUGAAACGAUCUAAGUACCCCGAGGAAAAGAAAUCAACCGAGAUUCCCCCAGUAGCGGCGAGCGAACGGGGAGGAGCCCAGAGCCUGAAUCAGUGUGUGUGUUAGUGGAAGCGUCUGGAAAGGCGCGCGAUACAGGGUGACAGCCCCGUACACAAAAAUGCACAUGCUGUGAGCUCGAUGAGUAGGGCGGGACACGUGGUAUCCUGUCUGAAUAUGGGGGGACCAUCCUCCAAGGCUAAAUACUCCUGACUGACCGAUAGUGAACCAGUACCGUGAGGGAAAGGCGAAAAGAACCCCGGCGAGGGGAGUGAAAAAGAACCUGAAACCGUGUACGUACAAGCAGUGGGAGCCUCUUUUAUGGGGUGACUGCGUACCUUUUGUAUAAUGGGUCAGCGACUUAUAUUCUGUAGCAAGGUUAACCGAAUAGGGGAGCCGAAGGGAAACCGAGUCUUAACUGGGCGUUAAGUUGCAGGGUAUAGACCCGAAACCCGGUGAUCUAGCCAUGGGCAGGUUGAAGGUUGGGUAACACUAACUGGAGGACCGAACCGACUAAUGUUGAAAAAUUAGCGGAUGACUUGUGGCUGGGGGUGAAAGGCCAAUCAAACCGGGAGAUAGCUGGUUCUCCCCGAAAGCUAUUUAGGUAGCGCCUCGUGAAUUCAUCUCCGGGGGUAGAGCACUGUUUCGGCAAGGGGGUCAUCCCGACUUACCAACCCGAUGCAAACUGCGAAUACCGGAGAAUGUUAUCACGGGAGACACACGGCGGGUGCUAACGUCCGUCGUGAAGAGGGAAACAACCCAGACCGCCAGCUAAGGUCCCAAAGUCAUGGUUAAGUGGGAAACGAUGUGGGAAGGCCCAGACAGCCAGGAUGUUGGCUUAGAAGCAGCCAUCAUUUAAAGAAAGCGUAAUAGCUCACUGGUCGAGUCGGCCUGCGCGGAAGAUGUAACGGGGCUAAACCAUGCACCGAAGCUGCGGCAGCGACGCUUAUGCGUUGUUGGGUAGGGGAGCGUUCUGUAAGCCUGUGAAGGUGUGCUGUGAGGCAUGCUGGAGGUAUCAGAAGUGCGAAUGCUGACAUAAGUAACGAUAAAGCGGGUGAAAAGCCCGCUCGCCGGAAGACCAAGGGUUCCUGUCCAACGUUAAUCGGGGCAGGGUGAGUCGACCCCUAAGGCGAGGCCGAAAGGCGUAGUCGAUGGGAAACAGGUUAAUAUUCCUGUACUUGGUGUUACUGCGAAGGGGGGACGGAGAAGGCUAUGUUGGCCGGGCGACGGUUGUCCCGGUUUAAGCGUGUAGGCUGGUUUUCCAGGCAAAUCCGGAAAAUCAAGGCUGAGGCGUGAUGACGAGGCACUACGGUGCUGAAGCAACAAAUGCCCUGCUUCCAGGAAAAGCCUCUAAGCAUCAGGUAACAUCAAAUCGUACCCCAAACCGACACAGGUGGUCAGGUAGAGAAUACCAAGGCGCUUGAGAGAACUCGGGUGAAGGAACUAGGCAAAAUGGUGCCGUAACUUCGGGAGAAGGCACGCUGAUAUGUAGGUGAAGCGACUUGCUCGUGGAGCUGAAAUCAGUCGAAGAUACCAGCUGGCUGCAACUGUUUAUUAAAAACACAGCACUGUGCAAACACGAAAGUGGACGUAUACGGUGUGACGCCUGCCCGGUGCCGGAAGGUUAAUUGAUGGGGUCAGCGCAAGCGAAGCUCUUGAUCGAAGCCCCGGUAAACGGCGGCCGUAACUAUAACGGUCCUAAGGUAGCGAAAUUCCUUGUCGGGUAAGUUCCGACCUGCACGAAUGGCGUAAUGAUGGCCAGGCUGUCUCCACCCGAGACUCAGUGAAAUUGAACUCGCUGUGAAGAUGCAGUGUACCCGCGGCAAGACGGAAAGACCCCGUGAACCUUUACUAUAGCUUGACACUGAACAUUGAGCCUUGAUGUGUAGGAUAGGUGGGAGGCUUUGAAGUGUGGACGCCAGUCUGCAUGGAGCCGACCUUGAAAUACCACCCUUUAAUGUUUGAUGUUCUAACGUUGACCCGUAAUCCGGGUUGCGGACAGUGUCUGGUGGGUAGUUUGACUGGGGCGGUCUCCUCCUAAAGAGUAACGGAGGAGCACGAAGGUUGGCUAAUCCUGGUCGGACAUCAGGAGGUUAGUGCAAUGGCAUAAGCCAGCUUGACUGCGAGCGUGACGGCGCGAGCAGGUGCGAAAGCAGGUCAUAGUGAUCCGGUGGUUCUGAAUGGAAGGGCCAUCGCUCAACGGAUAAAAGGUACUCCGGGGAUAACAGGCUGAUACCGCCCAAGAGUUCAUAUCGACGGCGGUGUUUGGCACCUCGAUGUCGGCUCAUCACAUCCUGGGGCUGAAGUAGGUCCCAAGGGUAUGGCUGUUCGCCAUUUAAAGUGGUACGCGAGCUGGGUUUAGAACGUCGUGAGACAGCUCGGUCCCUAUCUGCCGUGGGCGCUGGAGAACUGAGGGGGGCUGCUCCUAGUACGAGAGGACCGGAGUGGACGCAUCACUGGUGUUCGGGUUGUCAUGCCAAUGGCACUGCCCGGUAGCUAAAUGCGGAAGAGAUAAGUGCUGAAAGCAUCUAAGCACGAAACUUGCCCCGAGAUGAGUUCUCCCUGACUCCUUGAGAGUCCUGAAGGAACGUUGAAGACGACGACGUUGAUAGGCCGGGUGUGUAAGCGCAGCGAUGCGUUGAGCUAACCGGUACUAAUGAACCGUGAGGCUUAACCUU
Molecule: ribosomal RNA, 2903 nt
Filed under: Escherichia coli MP021566.1
Lineage: Bacteria; Pseudomonadati; Pseudomonadota; Gammaproteobacteria; Enterobacterales; Enterobacteriaceae
Description: bacterial LSU rRNA
Rfam family: Bacterial large subunit ribosomal RNA
Source: RNAcentral